UACGUAGGGUGCAAGCGUUGUCCGGAAUUAUUGGGCGUAAAGAGCUCGUAGGCGGUCAGUCGCGUCUGCUGUGAAAACUCGGGGCUUAACUCCGGGCCUGCAGUGGGUACGGGCUGACUAGAGUGCGGUAGGGGAGACUGGAAUUCCUGGUGUAGCGGUGAAAUGCGCAGAUAUCAGGAGGAACACCGAUGGCGAAGGCAGCUCGCUGGGACGGUACUGACGCUGAGACGCGAAAGCGUGGGGAGCAAACAGG
Molecule: ribosomal RNA, 253 nt
Filed under: uncultured bacterium
Lineage: Bacteria
Description: partial 16S ribosomal RNA
Rfam family: Bacterial small subunit ribosomal RNA
Source: RNAcentral